GGUGUUGUGGCAUAGUGGGUAAAGCCGUCGCCUGCAGUGCCAGCAUCGCAUAUGGGCGCGGGUUCAAGUCCUGUCUGCUCCA
This 82-nucleotide transfer RNA is filed under the name Oryctolagus cuniculus (rabbit). It matches the Rfam family "tRNA". Rfam says of the family: Transfer RNA (tRNA) molecules are approximately 80 nucleotides in length. Their secondary structure includes four short double-helical elements and three loops (D, anti-codon, and T loops). Lineage: Eukaryota; Metazoa; Chordata; Mammalia; Lagomorpha; Leporidae. The record is from Rfam by way of RNAcentral.